Molecule: long non-coding RNA, 258 nt
Filed under: Fukomys damarensis (Damara mole-rat)
Lineage: Eukaryota; Metazoa; Chordata; Mammalia; Rodentia; Bathyergidae
Description: lncRNA (ENSFDAG00000030978.1)
Source: RNAcentral
AUGAAAAGGUAUAUGAAACAGAACAGCGAUCGUUCCUCAUACUUUGCUAUGGACACAGUAGUCUGUUCAUACACGAAGUGGAGUUUGAAUCCAUGGCUUGAGUGUACCAGGCAAGCGCGGCGAGUGCCCUCAGCUCUACCCCCAGGCCCAGCCCGUUUUUAUCAAGGCGUAGCCGUUUUUGACAGGAUCCUGGGAAGGGUCUCCAGGCCCUUGUGCGCAAAGAACAAAGAAUUCGGGAGAUGCAGUGCGCAGGCGUGA